UGGGGGAUAUUGCACAAUGGGCGAAAGCCUGAUGCAGCGACGCCGCGUGGGGGAUGAAGGCUUUCGGGUUGUAAACCUCUUUCGCUAUCGAACAAGGCCCGCUUAGGGUGGGUUGAGGGUAGGUGGAGAAGAAGCGCCGGCUAACUACGUGCCAGCAGCCGCGGUAAUACGUAGGGCGCGAGCGUUGUCCGGAAUUAUUGGGCGUAAAGGGCUUGUAGGCGGCUUGUUGCGCCUGCUGUGAAAACGCGGGGCUUCACUUCGCGCGUGCAGUGGGUACGGGCAGGCUUGAGUGUGGUAGGGGUGACUGGAAUUCCAGGUGUAGCGGUGGAAUGCGCAGAUAUCUGGAGGAACACCGAUGGCGAAGGCAGGUCACUGGGCCAUUACUGACGCUGAGGAGCGAAAGCAUGGGUAGCGAACAGG
This 420-nucleotide ribosomal RNA is filed under the name bacterium. Its description in RNAcentral is "partial 16S ribosomal RNA". It matches the Rfam family "Bacterial small subunit ribosomal RNA", at positions 355 to 776 of the family's 1533-position model. RNAcentral also lists the same sequence under 1 other name. The record is from RNAcentral.